Molecule: transfer RNA, 79 nt
Filed under: Turicibacter sanguinis PC909
Lineage: Bacteria; Bacillati; Bacillota; Erysipelotrichia; Erysipelotrichales; Turicibacteraceae
Description: tRNA-Asn
Rfam family: tRNA
About the family: Transfer RNA (tRNA) molecules are approximately 80 nucleotides in length.
Source: RNAcentral
UGCCUCAAUAGCUCAGUUGGUUAGAGCACUUGACUGUUAAUCAAGGGGUCCUAGGUUCGAGUCCUAGUUGGGGCGCCAU